UACAGAGGCCUCAAGCGUUAAUCGGAAUCACUGGGCUUAAAGGGUGCGUAGGCGGAGCCACAAGUGCUUUGUGAAAUCCCCUGGCUUAACCAGGGAACUGCUUGGCAGACUGUGGUUCUUGAGGUCGGUAGGGGCUGCUGGAACUCUAGGUGGAGCGGUGAAAUGCGUAGAUAUCUAGAGGAACGCCAAAGGUGAAGACAGGCAGCUGGGCCGAAACUGACGCUGAGGCACGAAAGCGUGGGGAG
Molecule: ribosomal RNA, 245 nt
Filed under: uncultured bacterium
Lineage: Bacteria
Description: partial 16S ribosomal RNA
Rfam family: Bacterial small subunit ribosomal RNA
Source: RNAcentral